UAAUACCGCAUAACGUCGCAAGACCAAAGAGGGGGACCUUCGGGCCUCUUGCCAUCAGAUGUGCCCAGAUGGGAUUAGCUAGUAGGUGGGGUAAUGGCUCACCUAGGCGACGAUCCCUAGCUGGUCUGAGAGGAUGACCAGCCACACUGGAACUGAGACACGGUCCAGACUCCUACGGGAGGCAGCAGUGGGGAAUAUUGCACAAUGGGCGCAAGCCUGAUGCAGCCAUGCCGCGUGUGUGAAGAAGGCCUUCGGGUUGUAAAGCACUCUCAGCGAGGAGGAAGGUGGUGAGCUUAAUACGCUCAUCAAUUGACGUUACUCGCAGAAGAAGCACCGGCUAACUCCGUGCCAGCAGCCGCGGUAAUACGGAGGGUGCAAGCGUUAAUCGGAAUUACUGGGCGUAAAGCGC
This 409-nucleotide ribosomal RNA is filed under the name Serratia marcescens. Its description in RNAcentral is "bacterial SSU rRNA". It matches the Rfam family "Bacterial small subunit ribosomal RNA", at positions 164 to 568 of the family's 1533-position model. The record is from RNAcentral. Lineage: Bacteria; Pseudomonadati; Pseudomonadota; Gammaproteobacteria; Enterobacterales; Yersiniaceae.